AACGAACGCUGGCGGCAGGCCUAACACAUGCAAGUCGAGCGAGAUCUUCGGGUCUAGCGGCGGACGGGUGAGUAACGCGUGGGAAUAUGCCCUUCUCUGCGGAAUAGCCUCGGGAAACUGAGCGUAAUACCGCAUACGCCCUUUGGGGGAAAGAUUUAUCGGAGAAGGAUUAGCCCGCGUUGGAUUAGGUAGUUGGUGGGGUAACGGCCUACCAAGCCGACGAUCCAUAGCUGGUUUGAGAGGAUGAUCAGCCACACUGGGACUGAGACACGGCCCAGACUCCUACGGGAGGCAGCAGUGGGGAAUCUUAGACAAUGGGGGCAAACCUGAUCUAGCCAUGCCGCGUGAGUGAUGAAGGCCUUAGGGUUGUAAAGCUCUUUCAGCUGGGAAGAUAAUGACGGUACCAGCAGAAGAAGCCCCGGCUAACUACGUG
This 433-nucleotide ribosomal RNA is filed under the name uncultured bacterium. RNAcentral's name for it is "partial 16S ribosomal RNA". It matches the Rfam family "Bacterial small subunit ribosomal RNA", at positions 29 to 507 of the family's 1533-position model. The record is from RNAcentral.